GUAGGUGGCAAGCGUUGUCCGGGAAUUAUUGGGGCGUAAAGCGCGCGCAGGCGGUCCUUUAAGUCUGAUGUGAAAGCCCACGGGCUCAACCGUGGGAGGGUCAUUGGAAACUGGGGGGACGUUGAGUGCAGAAGAGAAGAGUGGAAUUCCACGUGUAGCGGUGAAAUGCGUAGAGAUGUGGAGGAACACCAGUGGCGAAGGCGACUCUUUGGUCUGUAACUGACGCUGAGGCGCGAAAGCGUGGGGAGCAAACAGGAUUAGAUACCCUGGUAGUCCACGCCGUAAACGAUGAGUGCUAAGUGUUAGAGGGUUUCCGCCCUUUAGUGCUGCAGCAAACGCAUUAAGCACUCCGCCUGGGGAGUACGGCCGCAAAGGCUG
Molecule: ribosomal RNA, 378 nt
Filed under: uncultured organism
Description: partial 16S ribosomal RNA
Rfam family: Bacterial small subunit ribosomal RNA
Source: RNAcentral